GCAAAUUAUAGGCAAUAUUUUACAAUUUUAAAGAAACUUAAAUACAAAACUAAGGAUACCACGAGAGGAGUCUCAUUAGAAGCUAGUGGCAAAGCGGCGAAGGGUUUGAGGUCGACGACUCACCAGCAGAAUCUGCAUGUCAGCGAAAAACCCACCGAAAGGCGUGAGAUUUCAGAUCGACUAUAGCCACAACUUCUGAUCAAUCAGCGGAUCCAUUAAGAUGCUCAGUUCGCUGGACGCGCUGGCCGGCAAAAUAGCCACUGCCACGCCCGGAACGGGGGCGGUAACGGCGGACAGCAAGAACACACAGUCGUCGCUGCACCAUCACCACCGCCUCGACUAUGAUUACUCAGCGGUCGAGAUUGAACCACCGGCGGAACAACUGGCCAACUCCCCGCGCAGCGAACGGGAGCGUUUGCAGCAGGCCCAACAGGCCUACGAGCAGCAGGCCCAGGCGGAACUGGAGUUCGGCCUCGCGGAGGUGGACGCCAAGUUGACGCAGCUGAAGAGCAGCCACAGUCUGCAGCACCACCAUAAUCACAAUCACCACCAUCAGCUGCAGCGCCAUCCGCCGCCCCACCACCAGCAGCAGCAACAGCAGCAGCUGCACCACCAUCAGCCCCACCACAAUCACCACCACCAUCAUCCGUACCAGCGACCCAGACCCACAUCGCCACCGCAUCAGCAGCAGCAGCAGCAGCAGACGCCCUCCUAUCAGCAGCAACUUUCCCAGCUGGCCGCUCUGCAGGAUCACCACGAUCUCCUCCAGACGCAGCAGGAGCUGUUCCACAAACAGCUAGCCACCAUGCAAGAGUACCAGCGGGAAAGGGAGCGGGAACGCGAGAGGGAACGGGAGCGGGAACGGGAACGGGAUCGCAGCAGCUUUAUCGAUAACAGCGACUACGAUUCCCAGACGGAGUUCAAAAUUUGCCUGAGGGAUAGUGCUUUUGGUAUGAGUGAUAAGAGCAGCAGUGCAACGAACAGCCUGCCAAAUAGUCCCAUACACAGCAACAACAACAAUCCUUCGCUGCUGAACAACAACAACAAUAACAACAGCAGCACCAGCAACAGCAACAACAGCCUAAACGUCGGCAACAACAACAGCAAUCCGAGCCUGGGCGGCAGCAACAGCAACGCACUGGUUUCCGUGGGCAGUAACGGUAUAAUGUCCGCCGCCGGUUUGGUCAACAACAACAACAAUCCGUGCAGCGCCAACCGCAAUGUGGUCGCCAUGGUCGACGACGACGCCUGCUUCCGGCUGGACACGGAUGCCACGGUGACGUACGGCGAGAAGGAACCGGAUCCGGACAACAUCAAGAUGUUCGUCGGCCAGGUCCCCAAAUCGAUGGACGAGUCGCAGCUGCGCGAGAUGUUCGAGGAGUACGGCGCCGUCCACUCGAUCAAUGUGCUGCGGGACAAGGCCACCGGAAUAAGCAAGGGUUGCUGCUUUGUGACGUUUUAUACGAGACGCGCCGCCCUGAAAGCCCAGGAUGCUUUGCAUAAUGUUAAGACGCUAAAUGGGAUGUACCAUCCCAUUCAAAUGAAACCCGCCGAUAGCGAGAAUCGCAAUGAACGCAAACUGUUUGUGGGUAUGCUAAACAAGAAGCUGAACGAGAACGACGUUCGCAAGCUAUUUGAAGUCCACGGAGCCAUCGAGGAGUGCACCGUUCUUCGGGACCAGAACGGACAGAGCAAGGGUUGUGCCUUCGUCACAUUCGCCACCAAACACGCUGCCAUUUCGGCCAUUAAAGUGACCCUGAGCCAGAACAAGAUCAUGGAGGGCUGCACAUCGCCGCUGGUCGUCAAGUUCGCCGACACGCAAAAGGAGAAGGAGCAGAAGAAGAUCCAGCAGAUUCAGGCCAACCUCUGGAACCUGGCCAGCAACAUCAACAUCCCGCUGGGCCAAACGGCCACCAGCGUGACCACGCCCAUCCUGCCCAAUCCGCCCCAGCAGCCUUCGCCGGUGCUCGGCGCCGAUGCCAUCACCCCGGCCUCCAUCCAACUGCUGCAGCAACUGCAGGCGGUUGGGCUGCAGCAGCAGUUGCUGCAAGCCCUCACAGGACUGGGAGCCCAGCAGAGCAGCUCGGCGACGGACACCAGCGCAGUUGCGGCCGCAGGACUUCUGACCCCGAUGACCGUCCAGAAUCUGGCGGCCAUUGCGGCCAUGACGCAGCCGAGUCUCUCGAAUGCCGCCGCGGCAGCAGCCGCUGCCUCAUCGCCUGGAAGCGCCCAACUGACCAACACGGCUGCGCUGCUCUGGUCCGAUCCGAAUCCCCUGGCAUCGGCUUAUAUGUCAACAGCCGCCGGUCUGCCGCAAUUCGGGAGCGCCAGUGCAUUGUCCACUUCGCCGCUGGCCAGCGUUGCCCUCAGCGCCGCAGCCGCCGCCGCGGCGGGAAAGCAGAUUGAAGGACCCGAGGGCUGCAACCUUUUCAUCUACCAUCUGCCGCAGGAGUUCACCGAUACGGAUCUGGCCUCCACGUUCCUGCCCUUCGGCAAUGUGAUCUCGGCCAAGGUGUUCAUCGACAAGCAGACCAGCCUGUCGAAGUGCUUCGGCUUCGUCUCGUUCGACAACCCGGACUCGGCCCAGGUGGCCAUAAAGGCGAUGAACGGCUUCCAGGUGGGCACCAAGCGCCUCAAGGUGCAGCUGAAGAAGCCCAAGGACUCGAAGCCCUACUAGAGGCCACCAUCGGCAGCGAGGACACAUCCCCGGACACAUCGAGUAGAGAGGAAUACUGAGAUUUGUGAAAUAUGGAGUAGUCAAUGAAUGAAGAGUUGCCCGUGUAGAGCGCGCGUUGCAAGAGUAAACGAUGAUGCGAAUGCCAACGUUAUGGUAUGUUGUUUGCAAAGUUUCGCCACUUAUUUAAUUUUUGGAAAGGCAAUGUCAGGUGGUAGUUGAUGCAAGCCGCCAGUUGAAAGUUGAAUGCGAGUCGUUUUUACAAGACGCGUUGGUCCUUGAAAUAUGUAAAUAAUACCCGCUUGAGUCUCGAGAAUCCUAGAAGAGAUUGCCUAUUCCACUGCUGUCGCAAAAAAAAUUUCCAAGAACUGUAAAUUUAAAUACCACAAAAAUAAUGGAAAAUCUGUAAAAACCAAAAAAACUAAUAUGCAAUCAUGUUGUACGAUAGCCAAGAAAGCCAUUUUAUAAGCUUGUAAAGCAAACUAAUUUUAACAAAGUAAAUUUAUGAGAAUACGGAAUAAUA
Molecule: unclassified non-coding RNA, 3197 nt
Filed under: Drosophila yakuba
Lineage: Eukaryota; Metazoa; Arthropoda; Insecta; Diptera; Drosophilidae
Description: GE18580
Source: RNAcentral